Molecule: ribosomal RNA, 442 nt
Filed under: uncultured bacterium
Lineage: Bacteria
Description: partial 16S ribosomal RNA
Rfam family: Bacterial small subunit ribosomal RNA
Source: RNAcentral
CCUACGGGAGGCAGCAGUGGGGAAUAUUGGGCAAUGGGCGCAAGCCUGACCCAGCAACGCCGCGUGAAGGAAGAAGGCUUUCGGGUUGUAAACUUCUUUUAAGAGGGAAGAGCAGAAGACGGUACCUCUUGAAUAAGCCACGGCUAACUACGUGCCAGCAGCCGCGGUAAUACGUAGGUGGCAAGCGUUGUCCGGAUUUACUGGGUGUAAAGGGCGUGUAGCCGGGCUGACAAGUCAGGUGUGAAAACUCCGGGCUCAACCUGGAGACUGCACUUGAAACUGGGUGUCUUGAGGGCAGGAGAGGAAAGUGGAAUUCCUAGUGUAGCGGUGAAAUGCGUAGAUAUUAGGAGGAACACCAGUGGCGAAGGCGACUUUCUGGACUGUACCUGACGCUGAGGCGCGAAAGCGUGGGUAGCGAACGGGAUUAGAUACCCCGGUAGUC